This 1162-nucleotide long non-coding RNA is filed under the name Manihot esculenta (cassava). Its description in RNAcentral is "long non-coding RNA (MESC_LNC001402)". Lineage: Eukaryota; Viridiplantae; Streptophyta; Magnoliopsida; Malpighiales; Euphorbiaceae. The record is from RNAcentral.
GCUUUUCUGCUUCGCCUCACGUAAUACAUGAAUUUAAGAGAUGGAAAAUUCCUUGUCUGCCAAUAGAUGAGUGGCAAGCGUCAAGUAUGAAUGGAUGUGUAACAAGCAGAUCUCUAAAUUUGGCUGUACAAUUGGAGCAUCUUUAACCGGAAACUUCAUUAGUUAGAGAGUUAAAGCUUGCAUGACAAAUAACAUGGGAUUCAGACAUUGGCCUAGAGCUGAGCGUGGGGUGACGUCUUCUUUAUCUUUGCCUCUCUUGGACUCAACUUGUCCUCUCGAGCCUCAGAAGAACCUGCUGUGUCAGUAACUGCUUAAGUUGUUGCUUUGUAAUGACCGCUUUGAUCCUCUUUCACACCGCCAGCUGUUUGAGCAGUAGAAAUCAUUGCAGCAGAGUUUAAAAUGGGCAGAACACGGUAGACUUGCCCCAACUUCAGCUCACAAUCUGGUGGGAGAUGCUCUGUUCCUUCCAUCGAUGGUUCUCACAUCUAAUGGCUGGUCAGAAGAGGGAGAUCGGAGAAAGAGAAGUUUGAGGACGCUAAAACUUUCAAGGCUGACUCCGGCCAACCAACAACCAAAUGGAUUAGACCUCGGGAUCUUCAUUCCCGUCCCGCCAGCUUCGUUUUGACACCAAGCAAAUUGGACGACUAAGGUGCUCAUAAAUGGCGGAUGGUAAAUUAUUUCAAUCUGCAACGAUCAAAGCGAUAGGAGAGACAGUUAGCAGAAAAAAAAAAACAAAGGUGCUAGAAGAGAUAAAAUUAUAGAGUUUCUUUUUAAUGUUGACGCAUCUUUAUAACUGAUUGACUGACUUGUUGUAAUAGAGAUUUUAGAUUUAUUCGUUUGAGAAUUUUUUUAAAAAAAAUUAAUAAACAGCUGAAUAAGAUCUAUUCCGAACAUUCAUAAUCAAUAAAGCCAAAAUUUCUUUCUUUAUCUUUUCUCUCUCUAAUUCUUUUAAUUCUCUCUCUUUUCUUCCCUCAAAUGUCCUUCUCUUUCCACUAAAUUUUCAUAACCACCAGAUCUGUUAGGUUAACACCUAACAAUUGAUAUCAGAGCAAGAACAACCUCCGAUGAAAAGAUUCUUUUGUAGAAUUGAAGGAUGACAAGAUUGCAGAUAGUGAAUGCCGAAGCUGUGAAACUGAUGCAGGUUGAGGAGCAAGUACAAGAU